CGGUGAUGAGCUUCUCUCUGACUCAUUUCCCUACAAAGAAGUCGAGAAUGGCGUGCUUUGGGAAGUUCAAGGGAAGUGGGUUGUUCAAGGUGCCGUCGAUGUAAACAUUGGGGCAAAUCCUUCUGCUGAGGGUGGAUGUGAAGAUGAAGGUGUGGAUGACCAAGCUGUCAGGGUUGUCGAUAUUGUUGACACUUUUAGACUUCAGGAACAACCUGCUUUUGACAAGAAACAA
Molecule: unclassified non-coding RNA, 232 nt
Filed under: Hevea brasiliensis (rubber tree)
Lineage: Eukaryota; Viridiplantae; Streptophyta; Magnoliopsida; Malpighiales; Euphorbiaceae
Source: RNAcentral